Molecule: ribosomal RNA, 253 nt
Filed under: uncultured prokaryote
Description: partial 16S ribosomal RNA
Rfam family: Bacterial small subunit ribosomal RNA
Source: RNAcentral
UACAGAGGGUGCGAGCGUUAAUCGGAAUUACUGGGCGUAAAGCGCACGUAGGUGGUUUUGUAAGUCGGAUGUGAAAUCCCCGGGCUCAACCCGGGAACUGCAUUCGAGACUGCAUUACUCGAGUAUGGGAGAGGGAAGCGGAAUUUCCGGUGUAGCGGUGAAAUGCGUAGAUAUCGGAAGGAACACCAGUGGCGAAAGCGGCUUCCUGGUCCAGCACCGACGUUCAGGCACGAAAGCGUGGGGAGCAAACAGG